AGAUUGAACGCUGGCGGCAUGCCUAACACAUGCAAGUCGAACGGGAGUAGCAAUACUCUAGUGGCGGACGGGUGAGGAAUACGUAGGAAUUUGCCCUUAAGUGGGGGAUAACCCGGGGAAACCCGGAUUAAUACCGCAUGACCUCGAAAGAGCAAAGUGGGGGAUGGCAAGACCUCACGCUUUUGGAGAAGCCUACGUCGGAUUAGCUAGUUGGUGAGGUAAUGGCUCACCAAGGCGACGAUCCGUAACUGGUCUGAGAGGAUGAUCAGUCACACCGGAACUGAGACACGGUCCGGACUCCUACGGGAGGCAGCAGGUGGGGAAUAUUGGACAAUGGGCGCAAG
This 344-nucleotide ribosomal RNA is filed under the name uncultured soil bacterium. RNAcentral describes it as "bacterial SSU rRNA". It matches the Rfam family "Bacterial small subunit ribosomal RNA", at positions 26 to 381 of the family's 1533-position model. The record is from RNAcentral.